UACGGAGGGUGCAAGCGUUGUCCGGAUUUAUUGGGUUUAAAGGGUGCGUAGGCGGUUUAUUAAGUCAGUGGUGAAAGACGGUCGCUCAACGAUUGCAGUGCCAUUGAUACUGGUAGACUUGAGUGAGAUUGAGGUAGCUGGAAUGGAUAGUGUAGCGGUGAAAUGCAUAGAUAUUAUCCAGAACACCAAUUGCGUAGGCAAGUUACUAAGUCUCAACUGACGCUGAGGCACGAAAGUGUGGGUAUCAAACAGG
This 253-nucleotide ribosomal RNA is filed under the name uncultured bacterium. Its description in RNAcentral is "partial 16S ribosomal RNA". It matches the Rfam family "Bacterial small subunit ribosomal RNA", at positions 524 to 776 of the family's 1533-position model. RNAcentral also lists the same sequence under 1 other name. The record is from RNAcentral.